CAGGAUGAGUCACUGAAGGUGCCAUGGAGA
RNAcentral lists this non-coding RNA (30 nucleotides) under Rattus norvegicus (Norway rat). Lineage: Eukaryota; Metazoa; Chordata; Mammalia; Rodentia; Muridae. The record is from RNAcentral.